AUGUGAAAAUGUCAACUUAAAACAAAAGAAAAUGUUAUUUUGCAUAAAACCAGCGCUAAUUUAUGAACGACUGGGUCUCUGACUUCGCAGGGCGUUACCCCUACACGUAUUUGGCAUGUCGUCUAUCAAGAUCAUCUUCUCUUGAGCGAAGUUGUAGACAAACAUGGGACGCUUAUACUUGACGUGUUAUGUAGAAACGAAUUAUAACAAGACGAUGAUUGAUCAAUCACGAAUAAUACGUAAAAGGAAGAUUUAUAAAAUGAAUAGGACUUUCUGUGUGGUGGACUACUACGACGCAAUUUCAACUUUGAAAUUGUGCAGGAGAAACGACUGUUGAAACCGUCUGGAACUGAAGAAAUGGAAAUUCAUGUUAUUUUCCUAUUGAAAUUCGUUGAUCCUUUUUUCUCAGUGGGAACUUGACAACGCUUGACGACAGACGAUCUAACCAAACAAUCCAGUUGAUUGCAUCCUAGAUCUUGAUCAUUGGUUAUUCCUGCCUUUUUGGGGUAAUCGUUCACACUCGGUCCUGGACGAUGUGCGAGAAAAAGUAUCUUUUUUGUUUUCAAAUCAGGUUUCGUUGUGAUGAUGACCGCAGAUUGUCAACAAACCCGCUGUCUGUCAAUGGGGGAUUUGGAUUCGUCUACGUGUUUGAAUCAGAUUUUUGUUUUAAUUUGCAGAAAAUGUGAAGGUUAUUCCUUUCAGCUCUUUUCGUUUUUUCAGAGAGGCUGGGCAUAGCAAACGGUAAGACGCUUGCCUACACCCAAGGCUCUUAUUUUAGGGGGCGUUUUUUUAGGGCUUUUGUUCGUUAUAGUUAGUUGGCUUUCAUGGUGGUAGUAUCGGAUGUGCACCUGUACGUGGAUCAUGUAGUACUCGUCUCGUGAUUGAAAAAUGUAUUCAUGAGUUGGGCAAGUUACCUGUUGCAGAUUCGUGCUGUUGGAGAAGAACGUCAGUUGAGUUGGUGAUGGAUAUCUAACCUAGACCCUUUUGCCUACACCGACGAAUCUAAUUUAAAAUGGAGCCAGCCGUUAAAAUAAGUGCAACGGUCUGCCGUCGUGUCGAAUAGGAAUCCUCCAUUAACGAUAUCGCUCUGCAAUCAGAUGACACGAAAUUGAAUCGAACCAACAUGAACGAUGUUUUAAUUUUAGUGUCCGUUUUGCUGCUUUUCAAUUGUAUCUGCGAUUACCGUUCAACUGGUUGGUUAAAGCCUCGAUUUUAUCUGAUAACUCUUUGAUAAGAAAUAUAAUUUAGUAAUUCUAAAUUGUAUAUACGGCACAUGCAACUAUCACAUACUUUUCCUUAAUUCUGUAACCAGAUAAUCGACAGUCAGUUCGAGUAAUGACAUUCGUCAUGAUUUCCAGAACUGCCCUCUUUUAUACAUCAAUUGAUUUUCAGCAUGGAUGAUGCCCUCGGAAGGAGCAACGACUUGUCUAUACCCCGACGGUCAUCAGAUCAUUUCCAUUUGACUUGGCUGAUGCCCUCACGUAGAGACUGGAAAUUCCGGCCUGUUUUUUGUAUAAAUUUAUGAUAACAUUCUUGGUCCUCGAAGACUGGGGGGGAAAUAAUAAUGAAGUCGAUACCCGUUCGGCUUCUUUUGAUGAUGAUGACCAGACAGUUUCAUCCUUAUACAUGGUGUUAAGAUGAUAGACACACUAAAUCAAAAUAGGCUUCAACAAGUUUUUGAAUGAUGAAACGUGCAGGAAUUAGAUGUUUUACACCUAGAGUAACGAAAAGUUCAACGCUCUACAUGUGGAUUCACGUUCCACUACGUUAUUUGAAUCAACAGAAAUCACGCAGCUAUUGGGUCGGUGGUUGACCGAGAUGGUCAUAGUAAUAAACAAUAAUCUGGCGUAUAACUUUUGACAAUCGUUCAAAUGCUGGCCUUCAGAAACAGGUUCCCACUUGACUAAUAUGGAAACGGUCGUAUAUGAAGUCGUUUUGAUUUGAUUAAGCGCAUGCCGGGGUCAUUGGAUGUACAACGUCUAGUAUUUAUCGAUAUCUAAGAUCCUCUUUUGUAUAGCCAAACAUGGGUUUGUUUACUUGACGAAUCAUUUAGAAACAAGUUAACUAGAACUAGAUGAUUAAUUCGUCGUUAUAAAUGGAUGCUUCCUUUAUUUAUUUACUACUAUACCCUUACGCCACCUGGCUUCCAUUAUGAAAGUCAAUCGCACACACUUGGUCUUUGACGAUCUGCGAUAAAAACUCUUUUGAAAACGGAAUCUCGUGACCUGUUUUUGACAGACUUGAAAACGAAAAGGACUGGGCAUGUCGAAGGGGUGAGAUGGACAUGGGUAAGCACCCAAGGCUCUAAUUCAAGGCUGGGGGGCUUAUUUUUAGGGCCUUUUUAUUUAGUUGGCUUUCAAUUUUUUUCAUGGUGGUAGUAUCUAUUGUGCGACCGUGUAUGGAUUAUCUGCUCGUCUACCUUGUGAUUGAAAAGUGGAGAACAUAUUCGGUGUCACGAAAACGAUUUGAACGCGGCGUGUCUGAGAUGCCAAUUGUGGUAAGCGUGAUUUGAAUACAAACGUUUGUCAAACGUAUUCUAUACCCAUGGGCAUUACGAAUCCGGUUUUAGUGACUCAUUCUUUAAGGACAGGAGCACGACAGUGUUUUAUCAACCAGUUUUAUGCAUUGACUGUAUCACGUACCUCAGUCGUGCUAAUCGAAUGAAGAACAAAGGUUUUGCCUUGCGGGAUCCUAUAUUGUAUUGAGCAGACGUUUCUCUGCCGCCAUUUUGUAGGCUUGACUCGUUCAAAACAAGUCUGUUUAAGCAUUUGUUUUUACCAUUAUAGUAACUUUACGAUGGAUAGGCGUUGAUUUUGCAAUGUAUGCGUACUAAACUAGCACGCGUUUCAGUUGGACGUGUCAUUGACUGCACGCUGUGUUAAUUGCGUGUUAAAGCCUUUCGUAUAAGGGGCUGCAAAACGAUGGGCACCGUCUUAAUUCCCAAUUUUUAAUGAAGUUCUAUUCUUUCGCAUGUCCGUCAACGUCUAUUCCAAUUCAAUCAUUUAAUUUCGUUUAUUUCAUGUAUUAUUUCAAAGUUAUUGUACCAUUGAUUACAUGUGUCUAACUUUA
This is a long non-coding RNA of Daphnia magna, 3069 nucleotides long. RefSeq lists it as uncharacterized. The record is from RefSeq and is a predicted model, not a curated record. Lineage: Eukaryota; Metazoa; Arthropoda; Branchiopoda; Diplostraca; Daphniidae. The transcript has 2 exons.